RNAcentral lists this small nuclear RNA (191 nucleotides) under Cervus hanglu yarkandensis (Yarkand deer). Its description in RNAcentral is "U2 spliceosomal RNA (ENSCHYG00000013826.1)". It matches the Rfam family "U2 spliceosomal RNA". Rfam says of the family: U2 is a small nuclear RNA (snRNA) component of the spliceosome (involved in pre-mRNA splicing). Complementary binding between U2 snRNA (in an area lying towards the 5' end but 3' to hairpin I) and the branchpoint sequence (BPS) of the intron results the bulging out of an unpaired adenosine, on the BPS, which initiates a nucleophilic attack at the intronic 5' splice site, thus starting the first of two transesterification reactions that mediate splicing. The record is from Rfam by way of RNAcentral. Lineage: Eukaryota; Metazoa; Chordata; Mammalia; Artiodactyla; Cervidae.
AUCGCUUCUCGGCCUUUUGGCUAAGAUCAAGUGUGGUAUCUGUUCUUAUCAGUUUGAUAUCUGAUACGUCCUCUGUCCGAGGACAAUAUAUUGAAUGGAUUUUUGGAAUUAGGAGUUGGAAUAGGAGCUUGCUCCGUCCACUCCACGCAUCGACCUGGUAUUGCAGUACUUCCAGGAAAAAAAAAAAAAGA